RNA transcript from Panicum virgatum (switchgrass), 1580 nucleotides. It is a transcript of the gene named alpha-galactosidase-like, with no coding region annotated. The transcript has 7 exons. Lineage: Eukaryota; Viridiplantae; Streptophyta; Magnoliopsida; Poales; Poaceae. The record is from RefSeq and is a predicted model, not a curated record.
UCAUCUUCUCUCCCCUUUCUGAGCUCGAGUGGAGACGGCGGCCAUGGCUGGCCGGAGGGAGAGCGAGCGGCGGCGGCGCCGCCAGCCCCCUCAGGGUGUUCUUGCUUGACUCGAUUCGGGGUUUCUCUUGGGGUUAGGGUUUCUGAUUCUUCUAGGGUUAGAGUUCGUGGUGUUCUUGAUCGAUCCGAGAUCGAAUAAGGGUUUCUUUGUUUUCUGUUUCUUAGAUUCAAGAUUGAAUCCAGUUUCAUGUUGUAUUCGAGAUUCCCUGGUAAGCGGCGGCUCAAAUUUUUCUAGACGUUUGGGUGAGAUUUUUGCUUAUUUCCAUCCAGAAUCGGCUUAUAAUCGGAAACAAACAGCUAGUGUCUAUCCACCGAGGCAGGAGUGACAGGGGCGCGAGCGAGCGAGCGAGCGAUAGGAGGGCGGGCCAUGGCGGGUGUUGGCAGAAGUCGUCCCGAGUCGCCGCCGGCGACGGCAAGGCUGGCGCUGCUGGUGGCGGCCGCGGCGGUGGCCACCACCAUGGCUGGCAUCAUGGCGGAGGGCAAGGCGGUGCGCGUGGAGGAGCCGCACUGGCGGAGCAUGCUGGCCAAUGGCCUCGACUCCGCCCCUCCCAUGGGGUGGAACAGCUGGAACCACUUCCAGUGCGACGGCAACGGCGAGGUGGUCAUCAGGGAGACCGGUGCCGUUUCACUGAGACACUCCUUUAGAGAGCGUCAAAGAAGAAGAAGCUUCUUAUUUUAGAUCUUAAUGGUGUGCUUGCGGAUAUUAACAAUGACCAACAAAGCGGUAUCAUGGCUGAUGGCCGUGCUGAAGGGAAGUUAGGUAAAUAUAUUUAUCCCAUUGCUACUAUUUGCACAGAUGCUCAUGAAUCUAGCCUGUAAUGAAAGAUGUUAAUAUACAUUGAUGCACCUUUUACCAGUAUUUCGAAGGCCUUACAGUGAUGAGUUUCUCGACUUUUGCGCCCAGAACUUUGAGGUGGCUAUAUGGUCCUCAAGAAACAAAAAUAAUGUGGAAUUGGUGGUUGAUAUUGUCAUGAAAGAUUUCAAACCGUGCCUGUUAUUUUGUUGGACGCAUCUAAAUGCACAGAAACUGGGCAUAAUACACAAGAUAAUAGGGAAAAACCUUUAGUGCUCAAGGAGUUGAGAAAACUGUGGCAGAAGGAAGACCCUGAUCUUCCAUAGGAACAGGGGGACUACUCGCCUUCAAAUACAUUUCUUGUGGAUGACUCUCCUUACAAAGCUCUUCACAAUCCUCCACACACUGGAAUUUUUCCUCACUCCUACAGUUAUCAGAACUGGACAGAUGAUUCAGUGGGGCCCGGUGGAGACCUUCGCGUCUAUCUGCAGAAACUAGCUGAUGCGGAUGAUGUUCAAACUUAUGUUCGCAACAAUCCAUUCGGCCAGCCCUUCAUUACUGACAGUGAUCCGCAUUGGGACUUCUAUUCACAACUUGUUGUUUAAGGGAGCGUACCAUUGACUUCUGAUUAAACGUGUAUAUAGUGAUCUUCAGGGAGUGCUAGUUUAAUUGUAACCAGCCCUGCACGGGGGAUUACAAAUAUUAAUGAAUGGAGCUUGUUAGAUGUA